This 93-nucleotide ribosomal RNA is filed under the name Myrtaceae sp. RFK 2519. RNAcentral describes it as "partial 26S ribosomal RNA". It matches the Rfam family "Eukaryotic large subunit ribosomal RNA", at positions 1 to 90 of the family's 3401-position model. The record is from RNAcentral. Lineage: Eukaryota; Viridiplantae; Streptophyta; Magnoliopsida; Myrtales; Myrtaceae.
ACGCGACCCCAGGUUAAGCGGGGCUACCCGCUGAGUUUAAGCAUAACAAUAAGAGGAGGAAAAGAAACUAACAAGGAUUCCCUUAGUAACGGC